UCGCCCAAGGAGCGUUGCAGCGGCAGCCUGAUCCCACCCCACGAUGGUGGCCGGCUGCCGUCAGGCUUGGGCGCCCUGCCUUGGCCCCAUCGCAACGACGCUCACCUGUU
Molecule: non-coding RNA, 110 nt
Filed under: Acidovorax temperans
Lineage: Bacteria; Pseudomonadati; Pseudomonadota; Betaproteobacteria; Burkholderiales; Comamonadaceae
Description: SAH sequence
Rfam family: SAH (S-adenosyl-L-homocysteine) riboswitch aptamer
Source: Rfam by way of RNAcentral